Molecule: small RNA, 128 nt
Filed under: uncultured Streptococcus sp.
Lineage: Bacteria; Bacillati; Bacillota; Bacilli; Lactobacillales; Streptococcaceae
Description: Ribosomal protein L10 leader
Rfam family: Ribosomal protein L10 leader
About the family: This family is a putative r-protein leader autoregulatory structure found in B. subtilis and other low-GC Gram-positive bacteria. It is located in the 5' untranslated regions of mRNAs encoding ribosomal proteins L10 and L12 (rplJ-rplL). A Rho-independent transcription terminator structure that is probably involved in regulation is included at the 3' end.
Source: RNAcentral
UUGAAAUAAAACUGACCUAAGACAGCAGGGGAGCAGUGCUCAUAACAUUCCUGCCGAGGCACAAAACGUAAUUUAUUGAAAUAACGUAUUUGUACUUUCGUGUCUAGGUUUAGGUACGAUUUUUUUGU